Molecule: ribosomal RNA, 253 nt
Filed under: uncultured bacterium
Lineage: Bacteria
Description: partial 16S ribosomal RNA
Rfam family: Bacterial small subunit ribosomal RNA
Source: RNAcentral
GACAGAGGGUGCAAACGUUGCUCGGAAUUACUGGGCGUAAAGGGCGUGUAGGCGGGCAGGUAAGUCGGGCGUGAAAUCCCUGGGCUCAACCCAGGAACUGCACUCGAAGCUACUUGCCUUGAGUGCCGGAGAGGAAAGCGGAAUUCCUGGUGUAGAGGUGAAAUUCGUAGAUAUCAGGAGGAACACCAGUGGCGAAGGCGGCUUUCUGGACGGUAACUGACGCUGAGACGCGAAAGCGUGGGGAGCAAACAGG